This 460-nucleotide ribosomal RNA is filed under the name uncultured bacterium. RNAcentral describes it as "partial 16S ribosomal RNA". It matches the Rfam family "Bacterial small subunit ribosomal RNA", at positions 338 to 795 of the family's 1533-position model. The record is from RNAcentral.
CCUACGGGCGGCAGCAGUGAGGAAUAUUGGUCAAUGGACGCAAGUCUGAACCAGCCAUGCCGCGUGCAGGAAGACGGCUUUAUGAGUUGUAAACUGCUUUUGUACGAGGGUAAACGCAGAUACGCGUAUCUGUCUGAAAGUAUCGUACGAAUAAGGAUCGGCUAACUCCGUGCCAGCAGCCGCGGUAAUACGGAGGAUUCAAGCGUUAUCCGGAUUUAUUGGGUUUAAAGGGUGCGUAGGCGGUCGGAUAAGUUAGAGGUGAAAUCCCGAGGCUCAACUUCGGAAUUGCCUCUGAUACUGUUAGGCUAGAGAGUAGUUGCGGUAGGCGGAAUGUAUGGUGUAGCGGUGAAAUGCUUAGAGAUCAUACAGAACACCGAUUGCGAAGGCAGCUUACCAAGCUACGUCUGACGUUGAGGCACGAAAGCAUGGGGAGCAAACAGGAUUAGAUACCCGAGUAGUC